AGAGGGAUAGCUGGGUCAAAUGGUGGUUCCAUUCCCAGCUUUUGAAGAAAUCUCCAUACUGCUUUCCAAAUUGACCACACUAGUUUGCAGUCCCACCAGUAAU
This 103-nucleotide microRNA precursor is filed under the name Marmota monax (woodchuck). Lineage: Eukaryota; Metazoa; Chordata; Mammalia; Rodentia; Sciuridae. The record is from RNAcentral.